This 1056-nucleotide ribosomal RNA is filed under the name uncultured Bacteroidales bacterium. RNAcentral's name for it is "bacterial SSU rRNA". It matches the Rfam family "Bacterial small subunit ribosomal RNA", at positions 32 to 1087 of the family's 1533-position model. The record is from RNAcentral. Lineage: Bacteria; Pseudomonadati; Bacteroidota; Bacteroidia; Bacteroidales.
AACGCUAGCUACAGGCUUAACACAUGCAAGUCGAGGGGCAGCGCAGUGUAGCAAUACAUGGGCGGCGACCGGCGCACGGGUGCGUAACGCGUAUCCAACCUUCCCGUUACUCUUGGAUAGCCUUCCGAAAGGGAGAUUAAUACAAGAUGGUAUCUGAAUUUCGCAUGUUACUCAGAUUAAAGAUUUAUCGGUAACGGAUGGGGAUGCGUGACAUUAGAUAGAUGGCGGGGUAACAGCCCACCAUGUCUACGAUGUCUAGGGGUUCUGAGAGGAAGGUCCCCCACACUGGAACUGAGACACGGUCCAGACUCCUACGGGAGGCAGCAGUGAGGAAUAUUGGUCAAUGGGCGGGAGCCUGAACCAGCCAAGUAGCGUGAAGGAAGACUGCCCUACGGGUUGUAAACUUCUUUUAUACGGGAAUAAAGUGCCUUACGUGUAGGGUUUUGUAUGUACCGUAUGAAUAAGCAUCGGCUAAUUCCGUGCCAGCAGCCGCGGUAAUACGGAAGAUGCGAGCGUUAUCCGGAUUUAUUGGGUUUAAAGGGAGCGUAGGCGGGUUUUUAAGCCAGCUGUGAAAGUUUGCGGCUCAACCGUAAAAUUGCAGUUGGAACUGGAGACCUUGAGUGUGCAUAAGGUGGAUGGAAUUCGUGGUGUAGCGGUGAAAUGCUUAGAUAUCACGAAGAACUCCGAUUGCGAAGGCAGUCCACUGGGGCACUACUGACGCUGAGGCUCGAAAGUGCGGGUAUCAAACAGGAUUAGAUACCCUGGUAGUCCGCACAGUAAACGAUGGACACUCGCUGUUGGCGAUAUACGGUCAGCGGCCAAGCGAAAGCAUUAAGUGUCCCACCUGGGGAGUACGCCGGCAACGGUGAAACUCAAAGGAAUUGACGGGGGCCCGCACAAGCGGAGGAACAUGUGGUUUAAUUCGAUGAUACGCGAGGAACCUUACCCGGGCUUGAAUUGCACCUGACGUAUUUGGAAACAGAUAUUUCUUCGGACAGGUGUGAAGGUGCUGCAUGGUUGUCGUCAGCUCGUGCCGUGAGGUGUCGGCUUAAGUGC